RNAcentral lists this non-coding RNA (39 nucleotides) under Plasmodium falciparum 3D7. The record is from RNAcentral. Lineage: Eukaryota; Apicomplexa; Aconoidasida; Haemosporida; Plasmodiidae.
AUCCAAUUCUUCAUACUCACUUUCGGAAGAUGAAGUAAU